GUGCUCACUUUGGCAGCACAUAUACUAAAAUUGGAACAAUACAGAGAAGAUUAGCAUGGUCCCUGUGUAAGGAUGACACACAAAUUUGUGAAGGGUUACAUAUUUUU
Callithrix jacchus (white-tufted-ear marmoset) is the source of this 107-nucleotide small nuclear RNA. NCBI's taxonomy places the organism in Eukaryota, Metazoa, Chordata, Mammalia, Primates, Cebidae. The record is from Ensembl.